Long non-coding RNA from Felis catus (domestic cat), 6231 nucleotides. RefSeq lists it as uncharacterized. The transcript has 6 exons. NCBI's taxonomy places the organism in Eukaryota, Metazoa, Chordata, Mammalia, Carnivora, Felidae. The record is from RefSeq and is a predicted model, not a curated record.
AAACAGGCCCAAGGUUUCAGGACUUGUCUAAGGCUACAGGCCAGUGCAUUGCAGAGCCAGAAGAGGGACUUGGGGGGAGAACAGGACCAGGGAAGGCGUGGUCAGCACCCAACCUGACGCAGGCAGGUCUUCGGGGUGGAGUUUGCACAGCAGCCAGGAUGGGGCUCACCUUGGAGAGACUGCCCCGUGUGACAGAGCCCAGAAGACUCUCCAGGCCACAUAAAAGUAAAGGUAGCAGUAACAGAAUCAUCCCUCCAAAGAAACAGGAGUGGUGGAGGAUGUUCCUCAAAGUUGUGCUUAUGAUACUAAAAAAGGAAUCACUCCGACGAUCCAUCGGUAAGAGACCGGGUCAAAUCCGUCGGGACGUUGAUUCGGGAAGGGGUGAGGUGUUUAGCCUCAGCCUCCGUGUAUCUUCCUGGACGGCCCGCCUCUGGCGCAGGGAAGGAAAGUUGGCACAAAGCCUCACAGUGUAUGUACCUGCCCCAAGAAGAAGGGGCUGGAAGGUUCUACUGUGUGUGCGUGACCGCUUUCUCUGCAGAAGGGGUCUUCUGAGCCCCUUCCUCACACCAGGGGCUACACCGGUGUGAUUGGGGGCAUGUGUGACUUCUGCAAGGAGGGAGAGAGGAGCCAUUCUCAGUGUUUUGGGAACUCAAGAGCCCUGGUAUCUGCAAUUCCCGCCUGGUGCUGUGGGCGCCCGCCCUGUGACUCCCAGCCUCUCCGAGGACCUCUAGAACCCAAGUCGAGACCCCACGGCUGGGAUUUGGCUUCUGACAGCCCCCUGGGUCUGGGCCAACAACGUGGUAGAGACAGGCUGACAGAGGACCCUGUGUUCCUCAGGAAGUAAGUUCUCCAUUUGAAGAGGGUGUUCCCAAGGAAGUUUCCAGGAGUGUUUCUAUUGAUUUUUGUUUGCUUUCCUGGAAAAAGUACAGGAUCCAAGGAAAAGUGACAUUUGAAGUGUCUGGUUCAUAGAAGGGGUGGGCACAGCUAUGCUAUGCCAGCCCCCGCGGGCUGUCUUCAAGGGACAGUCACGGUUCUGAUGAGACAUUGUGAAGCAGUGCUUGUAGGCCAGAGUCCAUAACGUGGAGGGAACAGGUGUCUGUCCCCAGCCCAAAAGAGUGGGAGCACCUUACGUUUGGCCGAGGGCUCUCUUUCUUAGGGUUUUAAUGGCUUAACUUACCUACACUAGGCCCUGUGGGAGCAGGUCACAGGGGCAGCAGACUCCUAGGUGGAGAUUAGUGUGUCCCCACCAGCUUUCUUGGCUCGAGUCACCUCAGCCCUGGCAGAGGGGGGCGUGCAGGUACACGGGAGGAUCUGGAGAGGGCUCCGCCUGGGUGCAUUCUGAUUUACAUACCUGCUUUUCCAUCCCAUCUCCUGAGGCUGUGCCAACUCCCCCAAGAGCCUGGCUCAGGGGCCCCGAGGGAAGCCAUGGGUGACAGGGGACUUUCCUCGCUGGCAUCAGAGCCUUGGGGGACACCAGCGGGUCUGUGCUGCACAGUUGCAUGCAUUGGGCACAUGCCUCAGGAAUGGGGAGGAGCUGUUUUCUUGGGCAUGAUUCCUCGAGAUUCUGGUGUUAUCAUUGGUUCUGUCCAGGGUAUGGCUUUCGAGUUCCAGAGUGGCAGAGAACGUGUCUGAUAGGGAAUUUGGAAAUCACCACCCAGCAUCAUUUACUUCCCAGCUGGCUUCCGAAAGCAGCAGUGGAUGAACAUUACCAGAAAACCCUGGCUGGCCAGAGCCGGUCCCAGCACCCCACGGGGCUGACCGGGGGUGCGGGGGUGCUGGCAAGAGGCCCUCACUCGUCCACCACCUCCACGGGGCCCUGGGACGGGUCCUCGCCAACCGCACGUGGCCAUGCCGACCCCCAGGGCCACCUCGGGAGCCUGCCCUGGUCCGGGGCCUCCUCGCGGGCAUUUGUGUGCAGACACCUGAAGGCCAGGGGGAAGAGGUGUGAAGUAAGGCACCAUCUGAGUGGAGAAGGGGCCCGAGCACAAGGGCCCACAGCCGGGAGCAUCGGAGGGGGUGGUGGCAGUACAGACAUUGGGACAGAACAACUAAAAUCUCGUUUAUCAGGUUAUCGCAUGAGGGCAGGAGGCAUUUUCCCGUGUUUCUCAAUGCGUUUUAUAAAACAGAAGCUGUCAACAGCGGAAGAUGUGAAAGGCAGGGAUGUGCCAGCCUCAUUGCUUCCUGCACUGGAAGCCUGUGACUCUGCUGCUUUUCCCAGAAACAGGUGCGUCCAGAGCAGUGGCCAAGGGCCGCCCGGGGUCCACGUCCCCGCCGUCGCCACUGCCUCACCCCCCGCUGCACACCACGAAGGACCCGCCCCAUCUCUGACUCUGGGUGACACCAAGGGCUGAGACAGAGAAGGGAGGAGAGUUCCGUUUCCUCCCUACCACUCUGACUCCAGAGUGCUCACACGUUGGAUGUUCUACGUACGCCAAGGGGUCCCCCACCCCGUGGGUUGAAAAGUCAGUUCUCUCUUACCUGUAACCCCGGAAGAGAAGCAAAGCCACCUGCUGGCCUCCAGGGUGCGCGUGUUGAGUGUGUGUGGUCGUUGUCCGGAGGGCCGACUGUGUCCUCCAGCUGUGGACUCAGAGUCACCCGGCUCCAGACAGACGCACAUCUGGGCCUCCACGGGACCUCCACCAGAGGCACAUCGAGCGGCAGGGAGGGCGUUUGCUUUGAGCACAUGGCUCCACUCCCCUGCGGCCGAGGCAACCGACUCCUCCCGCUCCGUCUCCAGACCAGGAUGCUCCAUGCAGGGCCGAGAACCCGCGUUUACCUAAAGCUGCCUUCUCUUCGACAUGACGCAUCUGAACAUUACAACACCAAGAGGGAUGUAGCUGUCGGUACCUCUCCACGCAAACAUCGGACUUCUGCACCAGGAGGCAGCGUGACAGGUACUCUGUAGUUUCCAGCGAAUUGGUCUCAGAUGUAGAUGAGCAGGAUUUCCCGGGAAGGGAUGGAACCCUGUGGUGGGCUCGGCCCGAACCUGCCGGGGCAUCGCAGGUGCCUUUGUGGCUGACUGUGGGUCCCACCUGCCCCUUCCCUAUCCCACCGGCACCCCAGUCCAGGAGGGUCUCUCCAAGCCUGCCCUCCGAGCAAGGGGCCUUGGGCUACACUCGGCCGACGUCCAUAAUGCUGCCUCUGAACUUGAGCCGCUGUGGCGUCCUCCUUGCUGCGAGAACAGCACCAUGUUUGAACUCUCUCUCAGAAGCUCCUCAAGCCAGGAAUCUCGUUCCCAUUGUGCUGGGGAAAGAUGACGAUGAUGCUCAGACAUGACGUAUGCAUAAAUGGUAGAUCUUGUUUAAAAAAAAAAAAAACGUCUGCGGAGCAAGGCACUACAGUGAUUACUCAGCAUGAGUAGUUGAAACUUCUUUUCUGUGUUUCUCUGUGUAUUCUAAAUUUUUGCAACAGAAAUGUGUUAAUGGCUCUGAUUAUAAGAACAGUGUAUUUACCAGGUUAAGAAGGGCCCCCCGACAGAUGUCUUAAGACUGUACUGGUUGCUGGAGUCUAAUCUCGAGACGACAUGCCUGUCACACUUCUGCUGUGUGCCUGCAGGGCCGGUGGAUGAGAAUGCCCCAGACAAGGUCAUGGGGGGGGGGUGGGGGAAGCAGGCAGCCUCCACAUAGAUGGGCCAUGUGACACCAAUAUGAGAAGGACCCAGCUCAGGGCAUGCUUUCUCAGAAAAUCAAAAGGGGCUUCCUGGAGGAGGCAGGGCAUGCACUGCACCUGUUAUUGCUGGACAGGACAUGGAAGGCCUUUCAAGUAGAAGGAGCUCCAGGCACCUUAGAGCAGAGGAAACCAGGGGCCCAGAGGGCAGUGGUGAUGAUCGGGCAAGGGGGAGGGCCGACACUCUUGCCACCGGGGGUGCGGUGACACGUGUGGAGUCAGCUCUGGGUAGAGUUCCAGAUGGCAAUCAGGAGAGCAGUGCAUGGCAGGCCUCACAGGCAUCAGGGGACACCACGGCCCCGGCAGCCCUGACUUUGUCUGGCGGGAGCCCCCUAGGUCUGCAAAGACCUGCCUCCUCUUACAGCCUUUCCUCACUUACUGCCCUGGGAUGGUGGACUUUUCUGAAUCCCUCCUUUGUCACUGAAGUUCGCCCAGCGCCCCAUGCAGGGAACGGCCACAAGACCCGAGUUCCUGGCAGGGGAGAUAGGCUGUGAGGAGUGCAGGCCCCAAGGAGAUCACGGGGACCUCACCUAGCACCCCGCUGUCCUCGAGGCCAGGACUGCAUCACCGGCACCCUGGGGACCCAUGAGAACGGAGGCGCCUUGCCCGGCGGAGAAGCCUGCUUGUCUCUGCAUCCCGUGUUUUACAUAAUUAGGACGUACGGAGCCGUCAGCAAACCAUUAAUCUCUCUUUGAACCACGGUGACAAUGUUUACAUUUAAGAUCAAGAUGACGGUUAUUGGAAGAACUCCCCCAGAAGCUCUUCUCACAGCUGGAGAAACACCGCAGCGGGUGAACAGAGAGAGCCGUUGCCGUGCCAGAAGUGACCACGAGGCGGUCCGGGAGACCCACACUUACAGAGGGCGCUGCCCGGGGAGGCAGGCGUCUGACGGAAGCUUGUCCGCAGGUUGGAGCCGGCUUCGAGAACGGGGAAGCCUGAGCCACGCGGUUCGUGGCUGGGCAUUCUGGCCACGCUUGUGGGAACCUGCUUUCGACAAACCAACUACAAGGAGAAGUUUCUGAAAAGAAGUGUUUCUAGAAUUUGUGCCCGAACAACACAGAAAAUAACCAGGGACUCGCGGAGGUGAAAAGCCAGCUUUCUGAGCAUUCUGGGAACCUUCUGGCAAGUCCUUCAUUUUAAGAGAGACCUCUGGGUGCCCUCCAACACCCUGUGGGGCCUUCCCCUGGGCAUUGUCCAUCUUGGCACUUUGCACACUGAGCGCUGAGACCCAACGCCUUGUAAGGUCUGGUCAAAUGGCGGUCCCUGUGUUGGCACGACAGAGCCUUCUUUGUCACAGGCCUUUUCAGAGAGCACUUUAGUAAAUACGGGACAUUACCAACAAAACGCUGACAUUUUCAUCCUUCAUCAGAACUGGCAGCUGCGAUCCUUACAACAUGCCGUGAUAGGUUGCAUUUCCCCCAAGAAGGAUUAGCAUUUUGCUCCCAAACAACCCAGCUAUGAAGAUGUGAAGCCCAAGGCCACCACCUCAACAUCGGUCCUGAUCCCACUGGGCAGCGAAGCUCUCCUACUUCUCAUUCUAGAAUCAACUCUUGAACACCCACAAAUGUCCGUGCACCCUAAGAGCUGACUAUGGUUAACGUUCCAGGAACCUGAAGAAGAGCCCCUGUAAGACCUGGAAAAAGGCAGUUAGUCUGUGCUGUAUGUGCAGUGACUUUGCACGGUCUUGUGGGGUUACCCUCUGGUGUCCUAGCCCAGCCAUUUCUCCCCCAGGCACACUCCCCAGGGAGUCUGGUGUGUGCCCAGAAUCCAGGCCUGGGUGCAAGAGUGAAAACGGUGGUCAGUCCAGACACCCGUCCAGAGAAGGACAGGUCUCCUAUGAAUCUUGUUGGAAUCUCCUCUCUGCCCCCCAACAACCAUCACCAUAACUCUUUUCAAGACAAACCUGUCCCUACUUUGGAUAUGUCAGGCUUCGUUGAACCAGUGCCCCACAGAUCCUUGGAAGCCCCUUUUCUCUUGUUGAGAAAGUCUAUAAGGCACUGCUUCAUACCGCUCUGAGGCCUUACAGUCCCUUGAUUCAGUCUUUACUCUGAGUCCAUUUGUUCCUUCCUGAAUAUUUUGCUGACUUUUGAAGCGGGAAAUGUGAACAACUUUCCUUUUGGAACCAGUUUCCCCACAUGGAUCAGACCUUGUCAAACAGGCAGCUCGGGGCUGCCCGAUGGCCCCGGAGAGAAAGCCCAGAGCCCUCUGAUGCCUCACAUGGAGAAUAUCAUCCUAAGCAAAGAUGUGGAAGCCAUGAGGGAAAGGCUGACGCACAGAUCACCAGGGGCAGGGGCCGGCGCGUACGGGGACAGAAGCCCAAAGCAAAGCUGUCGACCUGGAGAAGAUCAUUGCAAGGUAUAGACAGAGAAAGAGGUGAGAGCCACAAAAUACAAUGAGCAGCUGCAAAUUAACAAGAAACAGAGGACGCAGUAGAAAAAUGGAGAGAUGACCACAGGUGCUUCACAGAAAACAAAUGGUCCAUGAAUAUGUGAAAUACACUAAACCUCACUGGGAGUUAAGGAAAUGCAGAUUGAGGGGCGCCUGGGUGGCUCAGUCGGUUGAGCG